Molecule: ribosomal RNA, 183 nt
Filed under: uncultured bacterium
Lineage: Bacteria
Description: partial 16S ribosomal RNA
Rfam family: Bacterial small subunit ribosomal RNA
Source: RNAcentral
UGCAUGAAGUCGGAAUUGCUAGUAAUCNCGGAUCAGCAUGCCGCGGUGAAUACGUUCCCGGGCCUUGUACACACCGCCCGUCACACCAUGGGAGCCGGUAAUACCCGAAGUCAGUAGUCCAACCUCGUGAGGACGCUGCCGAAGGUAGGAUUGGCGACUGGGGUGAAGUCGUAACAAGGUACC